UGCGGUUGAGCUGACGGACAUUUCCUCCCUGUCAGACUGGCCGUGCCCUAGUGCACGGCCAUUUUUUUCAUGCCA
Molecule: small RNA, 75 nt
Filed under: Ruegeria sp. TrichCH4B
Lineage: Bacteria; Pseudomonadati; Pseudomonadota; Alphaproteobacteria; Rhodobacterales; Roseobacteraceae
Description: Silicibacter sp. TrichCH4B suhB
Source: RNAcentral